This is a small nuclear RNA of Sciurus vulgaris (Eurasian red squirrel), 107 nucleotides long. The record is from Ensembl. NCBI's taxonomy places the organism in Eukaryota, Metazoa, Chordata, Mammalia, Rodentia, Sciuridae.
GUGCUUGCUUUGGCAGCACAUAUACUAAAAUCAGAAUGAUACAGAUAAGAUUUUCAUGGCCCCUGCGCAAGGAUGACACGCAAAUUCGUGAAGCAUCCCAUAUGUUU